GUUCAAAUUUCUAUUUCAGACAAACGAAUGUAAAAUAUCAUAACAUCAUGAAUGAGUUUAAGGAGCCAGAAAAAUCUUACAAAUUUUUCAAAUAUGCUGAUCCAGAACCAGGUGAAGAAGUUGUUAUUUCCGGAAUCGCUAGUAGAUUUCCAAAAUCCAACAAUGUGUACGAAUUCAAAGAUAGUAUUUUUAAUUGCAAAGAUUGCAUCACGGAUAACGGAACAGAAGCAGAGCAUUCAGAAAUUCCACGACGAACGGGGAAAAUUAACAAUAUCGAAAAAUUCGAUGCAUUAUUUUUUGACGUCGAUUUUAAAGAAGCACAUACUAUGAAUCCUAUAGGCAGAAUAUUGUUCGAACAUACUUAAGAAUCUAUUGUAGAUGCUGGAAUUCAUCCAAAAGAUCUUCGUGGAACGAGGACAGGUGUAUUCUUAGGUUCAUGCUUCUCCGAUACAGAGCAAACUUGGACCUACAACAAACUCAAGAUAAGUGGUGUUGGUAUCAUAAGCUGUAACAAAGCUUUUAUAACCAAAAGAAUUUCGCAUUGGUUGAGGGUCACUGGACCAACAUAUAACAUCGAUACCGCGUGCAGUUCAAGUCUAUUUGCAAUGGAACACGCAUAUAGAUCUAUACAUAACCGACAAUGCGUUUACGUAAUCGUCGCUGGAUCAAAUCUUUGCCUUCAUCCAUUCCUAACUUUGCAAUUUAAACGUUUAGAAAUAUUGUCUGAGGAUGGUCGUUGCAAGUGUUUCGACAAGGAUGCAGAUGGUUAUGUGCGUGGCGAAGCCGUAGUUGUUGCAUUUCGGCAAAAAAGAAAAAAUGCUCAAAGAUUCUACGAAACAAUUAUACAUGCGAAAACAAAUUGGGAUGGUUAUAAGGAACCGGGAAUAACAUUCCCUUCUAGGAAAUUCAGAGUACUCUUUUCUUCGAUGAAUGCAGUGUACUAACGACUUCUCUAAAUUACAUCGAAGCUCAUGGUACAGGAACUAAAGUCGGUGAUCCUGAAGAAAUAAAUGCUAUGGAUCAGAUUUUCACAAAAAACAGAACCAAUCCUCUUAAAGUCGGUUCCAUCAAAUCAACUUUGGGUCAUACCGAACCAGCCAGUGGAAUGCGCUCCAUUGCUAAGGCGGUAAUAUCGAUGGAGUCAGGCCUAAUACCCCCAAAUAUUAAUCUUAAUCAACAACGCAAAGACGUAAAAGCUUUUACAGAAGGGAGAAUCAUGGCUAUUACCGAAACGUCUCCGCUUGAUGGGGAAUACAUAGCCAUUAACUCUUUCUGCUUUGGUGGAGCUAAUGCUCACAUCAUAAUUAAAUUAAAUCCAAAAACAAAGGUCAAUAAAGGACUGCGAAGUGACGAUUUACCAAGACUCGUAACUGUUUCUGGACGUACCGAAGAGGCAGUUGUAACCAUAUUAAAUGAUGUAGGUGAAACAUUCUUUCAAAUAGAAAACAAGGUAUUAUACUUGUUUAUUCUAGAAUAAAAUAGAGCAAUUCAAUUUCAACAUUCUAUUAAGUAGAUCGAUAAUCGACCGAUAGACGUCGAAUUUAUUCGUCUCUAUCAUGAUGUUCAUCUUAAAGAAACAUCAGGUCAUUUAUGUCGAGGAUACACGAUAAAUAGUUCUAAAUAGUCUGAAGAAAAAUUGAAAGAGAUGGAAAAUUAUUCUGGUAUAAAAAAACCAAAAUAGUUUGUUUUUUCUGCAAUGGAAUCGCAGUGGUCUGAAAUGGGUACGAUAAUUUUUGAUCCAGUAAUUCUUCGUAACUAUAAAAAUAAUAACCAUUAUGAUUAUCAAAUAUAUUGGAAUUUAUAAUUAACCAAGUUAUGUUCUGAUGAGAUUUCCUACAUUUGCCAAAGCAAUAGAGAAAAGCGACGCUGCAUUAAAGCAAUAUAAAUUGAAUAUUUAUAAAAUAAUAACUGAAAAAGAUAAUAGCAUGGUCGACAAUAUCUUGCAUUCGAUCGUCGGAAUUGCUGCAGUUCAGGUGUAAUACCAGACUACAUCAUCUGACAUUCCGUUAGUGAACUUGGUUUUGCCUACGCUGAUGGAUGUUUUACAACAGAGGAAAUGAUAUUAGCAGCAUAUUCGCGAGGAAUUGCCUUGAUAGAAACAAAAAUAUCUCAUAGUUCUAUGGCAACGGUAGGGCUUUCCUAUGAAGAUCUGAAGAAUUGCUGUCCUGCUGAUAUCGAUAUUGCAUGUCACAAUGGAACUAAAAGUACAUCUAUUAGAGGACCGACCGAUUCUGUGAAGCAAUUCGUUAAAAAAUUACAGACAACUGAAGUUAUCAUAGAAGUGGUAGCGUGCAAUAAUAUACCUUAUCAGUUAUAUACCCUAGCCGUUAUAUCUCAGCAGUUGGAUCGAAACUUUUUGUAUAUUUAAAAAAGUGAUACCAGUAGCGAAAUCACGA
Long non-coding RNA from Vespa crabro (European hornet), 2396 nucleotides. RefSeq lists it as uncharacterized. The transcript has 7 exons. The record is from RefSeq and is a predicted model, not a curated record. NCBI's taxonomy places the organism in Eukaryota, Metazoa, Arthropoda, Insecta, Hymenoptera, Vespidae.